RNAcentral lists this ribosomal RNA (494 nucleotides) under uncultured bacterium. Its description in RNAcentral is "partial 16S ribosomal RNA". It matches the Rfam family "Bacterial small subunit ribosomal RNA", at positions 28 to 507 of the family's 1533-position model. The record is from RNAcentral.
GGCGAACGCUGGCGGCGUGCUUAACACAUGCCAGUCGAACGGUGAAGCGCCUUCCUUUUUGGUGGGUGUGGAUGAGUGGCGAACGGGUGAGUAACACGUGAGUAACCUGCCCCCUUCUUCUGGAUAACCGCAUGAAAGUGUGGCUAAUACGGGAUAUUCUGGGUCUGUCGCAUGAUGGGUCUGGGAAAGAUAUUGUUUCGGUGGGGGAUGGGCUCGCGGCCUAUCAGCUUGUUGGUGGGGUGAUGGCCUACCAAGGCGGUGACGGGUAGCCGGCCUGAGAGGGUGGACGGUCACACUGGGACUGAGACACGGCCCAGACUCCUACGGGAGGCAGCAGUGGGGAAUAUUGCACAAUGGGCGCAAGCCUGAUGCAGCGACGCCGCGUGAGGGAUGGAGGCCUUCGGGUUGUGAACCUCUUUCGCCAGUGAAGCAGGCCUGCCUCGUUUGUGGGUGGGUUGACGGUAGCUGGAGAAGAAGCGCCGGCUAACUACGUG